UACGGAGGAUGCGAGCGUUAUCCGGAUUUAUUGGGUUUAAAGGGUGCGUAGGCGGGCUUUUAAGUCAGCGGUAAAAAUUCGGGGCUCAACCCCGUCCGGCCGUUGAAACUGGGGGUCUUGAGUGGGCGAGAAGAAGGCAGAAUGCGUGGUGUAGCGGUGAAAUGCAUAGAUAUCACGCAGAACCCCGAUUGCGAAGGCAGCCUUCCGGCGCCCUACUGACGCUGAGGCACGAAAGUGCGGGGAUCGAACAGG
RNAcentral lists this ribosomal RNA (252 nucleotides) under uncultured bacterium. RNAcentral's name for it is "partial 16S ribosomal RNA". It matches the Rfam family "Bacterial small subunit ribosomal RNA", at positions 524 to 776 of the family's 1533-position model. The record is from RNAcentral.